This 454-nucleotide ribosomal RNA is filed under the name uncultured bacterium. RNAcentral describes it as "bacterial SSU rRNA". It matches the Rfam family "Bacterial small subunit ribosomal RNA", at positions 340 to 786 of the family's 1533-position model. The record is from RNAcentral.
UACGGAAGGCAGCAGUGGGGAAUAUUGCACAAUGGGCGAAAGCCUGAUGCAGCUAUGCCGCGUGUAUGAAGAAGGCCUUAGGGUUGUAAAGUACUUUCAUCGGGGAGGAAAAAACAAAACUAAUAAUUUUAUUUCUUGACGUUACCCGAAAAAGAAGCACCGGCUAACUCCGUGCCAGCAGCCGCGGUAAUACGGAGGGUGCUAGCGUUAAUCAGAAUUACUGGGCGUAAAGAGCACGUAGGUGGUUUUUUAAGUCAGAUGUGAAUCCCUGGGCUUAACCUAGGAACUGCAUUUUGAAACUGAAAUACUAGAGUAUCGUAGAGGGAGGUAGAAUUCUAGGUGUAGCGGUGAAAUGCGUAGAUAUCUGGAGGAAUACCUGUGGCGAAAGCGGCCUCCUAAACGAAUACUGACACUGAGGUGCGAAAGCGUGGGGAGCAAACAGGGAUUAGAUACC